Thamnophis sirtalis is the source of this 312-nucleotide non-coding RNA. NCBI's taxonomy places the organism in Eukaryota, Metazoa, Chordata, Lepidosauria, Squamata, Natricidae. The record is from RefSeq and is a predicted model, not a curated record.
GUCUAUAAAAAGGGUGGCUGCGGCCCGCGCUUUCUCUUUCGGAGUCUGCCUUUGGCCUCGCUGCUGCGUACAAAAUCUCAAGCCAAUGCUGUCUAUAAAGGGUUUCACAAAUGAUUCUGUGAUCAUGGAACAUGGACUGGGUUUCACAAAUGAUUCUGGGAUCAUGGAACAAGGAUUGAUUCUGUGUUUGCAAAUAUGGGAAUACUACCCAUUGAUGGGCUGGCCUUCGGGUUCUCGAAUAUGGAACAGCUUUAGAUGAUCAAACAUGUCUUAAUGGGAUCGAGCUGUCUUUGAAGAACCUCAAGAAAAGGC